This 510-nucleotide long non-coding RNA is filed under the name Oryza sativa Indica Group (long-grained rice). RNAcentral describes it as "lncRNA OsMH63_06G022820". The record is from RNAcentral. Lineage: Eukaryota; Viridiplantae; Streptophyta; Magnoliopsida; Poales; Poaceae.
CUGGAGGUCCGGACCGGAGGUGGCCAAGAGAGGUCCUCGGCGGCGACAAAGAACAGGAGUUUCAAUUCAAGUCAACAUCCUCGAUCUCUUCCGUCUCUUUUCUCGUCAUUGAAGAUAGGGGAACGUUUGCCCGUUGAAACGGAAUCUCUUGCCAGUAGUCAGAGGGAGCUGACGACAGUGGCGCGAAGGUCUCAAACAUUCGGCCCGGCACACGCCGUCACCGGCGUCGGCGGGCAGAUCACCUUGGGUGUCGAAUCGGAGGGGCAGCUGGUGGUCGACGGCGAGGACACGAGGGUCACGGUGGCGUUCAUGUCGAUGUCGGGAGGUGGGCUCACGUCGUCGCGCUGCGGUGCGUGGCGCGGGAGGCGGGAGCCCCGCAGGCGGCCGUCGAUGGCGGAGGUGUUCCUUCCUCUCGCUCUCGGCGUUGCACAAAUCGACGUUCGGUUGGGGAAUCGUGGAUCUCGGCGCCUCGGCGGCGUGAUGAGUGAAGGCCGAAUGGAGACCCACUAG